This is a long non-coding RNA of Oncorhynchus tshawytscha (Chinook salmon), 406 nucleotides long. Lineage: Eukaryota; Metazoa; Chordata; Actinopteri; Salmoniformes; Salmonidae. The record is from Ensembl.
GGAUAGUAAAGAUGGCUGACUGAACACAUCAGUGGAGAUCAACUCAAGAUAAAAACAUAAUAUUCAAUAUCAGUAAAUUAAACUAAAUAUUAGCACUUCACAAACUGAUGGGUUAAAACCAAAACAAAUCAUAAGGCUGGAGAAAUUAGCGACAAAUAUUACGAAAACAAGCUACACCCAAACACGACGGUGAGUUAAACAGGGGAACCAAUCCUGAAAAGAAAACGCGCCUCUUCGACAGACAAAGACAAUUUAAUAUUUUCAUCACCGGGAAUGUACGAUGGCCCGAGGAGGAACAGCCUAGGAGUGUUCAGAAAGAUAAAUUCGGACCUCUUCCCCAAUACAACGUUGGCUGUUGCUGUUGCCACUUUGGCUGUGCCCUGUCUCCUGACGUGCAACCGGAAAG